GGGGAGAACUUGAAGCAGGGAGGGGUCUUCCAGGUCACAAGUAGGUGAGAGACAAAUAGUUGCAUUCUUUUGAGUUUCUAAUUAGCUUUUACAAAGGAGCCAAUCAGAAUAUGCAUUUACCUCAGUGAGCAGAGGGAUGACUUUGAAUAGAAUGGGAAGCAGGUUUGCUCUGAGCAGUUUCCAGCUUGAAUUUUCCUUUUAGCUUAGUGAUUUUGGGGGCCCAAGAUAUUUUCCUUUCACUUAGUCUAUACAUACGUCUCAUACCUCCCUCUUAAGAACUAGCAGCCAGGUGCAGUGGCUCAGGCCUGUAAUCCCAGAACUUUGGGAGGGUGGGGUGGGCAGAUCAUGAGGUCAAGAGAUUGAGACCAUCCUGGCCAACAUGGUGAAACCCCGUCUCUACUAAAAAAUACAAAAAAUUAGCCAGGUGUGGUGGUGUGUGCCUGUAGUCCCAGCUACUAGGGAGGCUGAGGCAGGGGAUUCACUUGAACCCAGGAGGUGGAGGUUGUAGUGAGCUGAGAUCGCACCACUGCACUCCAGCCUGGUGACAGAACAAGACUCCAUGGUAAGUCACAAAGCUAUUUAUAUAUUUUUUCAACUUCAUGUCUAAGAAUUGGCUGAAAAGUGACAAUUCAGAACGGUUGAGUGAGAAAGAAUGAAAAAAAUCACAAUUCUGUGACAUAACUCGGGCUCCACACCCCGCCGGUCAAUGAUUUACAGAAUUAGAUACCAACCCAGAGAGGGAGAAAUUAGCCAAGACUGGCACUGAAAAAGGCAAGACUGCACAGUGAGAGGAAAUGGGACAGAUAGGACCAAUAAAGUAGGAGAAUUUCCAGGGAUGGUUACAGAUCACGACUCCACACUUGGUCACUGCACAGAUCCUGGAUGAACCACAGGAAGGAAGGGAACAGAAAAAGGCCCAGUUGGAACCCUCUGUGGUGUGAAUCAACAGGAAGAAACUCCAGGCACAAGAGUCAAGGCCCUAACUUUCAUCUGAAAAUGAUGCUUUCGUGGAAAAAGAGGCAGCAAAGCAAAAAAACAAUCUCCUCUCAAGAAUGACUACAUUAGCAUGCUGACACAAGAACAAAUACCCUUGCCACAAAGAAAUAAACUACAAUGGUGCCUUCCAUAGGGAUUGGUUCCAGGAACCCCCUUAGAUACCAAUAUCUGCAGAUGCUCAAGUCCCUGAUAUAAAGUGGCAUAGUAUUUGCACAUAACCUAUGCACAUCCUCCUAUAAAUCAUCUCUAGAUUAUUAGUAAUACCUACUACAAUGUAAAUACUACGUAAAUAGUUCUUAUACUGUAUUUUUACUUAUUUUUGUUUUAUCAUUUUUUAAUUUUUUCUGCCCUCCCACCCCAGAAUAUUUUUUCUUCUUUGUUGGUUGAAUCUGCUGAUGCAGAACCCAUGGAUACAGAGGCCAAGUGUAACUAAAAUCCAACGAAAAAAUGCCCAACAUUUCACUGUUUUUUUUUUUAAGAUUGAAAAAUAAAUUCACCUUCCCCAACCUGUUUUAAAAAAUACUUUAUAUCCUUAAGGAGCUCUGAACUUACAUAUACACCAGAGAUUUCCCAUAGAUACACAAUCUAUCAUUUACAUAGUUUAUGAGAAAAAAAGAUAUUUAAUAGUUAAAAAGGCAAGAAAAGAAAGGCAAGAUUUAAAUGUAGUGGUAACAAAUGUUUUUUGUGGUAAUAAAUGCUUUUUUCUUCCUCCCAGCUUUGUGGAAGUGUGGAGAUUCACAUUCAAAAUGAAGAAUUGUUUCGUGAAAUAAUUUGCAGAGGCUCAAUCAAGAGAAAUGAAAUUACUUAAAGAGCAAUUUCAACAUAGUGAAAGCCUGCUAGGGAGGUAGAUGCAGGUUUCUUAGUCAUCAAAUGCCAUGCUGACCCAGAUUCAGGGCAGAGUGAGCACCAAGCAUUUUGAAAGCUGAUCGAAUGGAGAGUCUAUUUUAAUUUUUUUAAGCUGCCAUUUCUUUAAAAAAAAAAAAAAAAGAAAGAAAGAAAGCCCCAGGGCAUGCAAAGAGUAAAAUAUACUGAUCAUUAAAAUAUUUAAAUUCACCAACAGCAGUGGUUAAUAAAACAUCAAAAUGAAAGUUUACAAAAAUUAGUCUCAACUUGUUUAAAGUAGCACACUCACCAAUGCAUGCGAUUUGUUAAUCAUGAUGGAGAUCUCAGAUGCUUUUGAAGAGGCUGAACUGAUAUGAGAAAGUCUUAACCAGUUGUUGCUUCUUUGAAGAAGAAGGAAGGGGCCACAAGCCAAGGAAUGUGGUGGCAUCUAGACACUGGAAAAAGCAAGAAAAUGAAUUCUCCACUAAAGCAUCCAGAAACACAGCUCUAAAGAUCCCCAGUUUUAGUCCAGUAUGACCCAUGUUGGACUUCUAAACCAUAGAAUUGUAAGAUACUAAAUUUAUGCUGUUUUAAACCAUUAUGUUCAUGAUAAUUUGUUACAGUAGCCAUAGAAAUCUAAUAAAAUUGAGA
RNAcentral lists this long non-coding RNA (2469 nucleotides) under Homo sapiens (human). RNAcentral's name for it is "HSALNT0346109". Lineage: Eukaryota; Metazoa; Chordata; Mammalia; Primates; Hominidae. The record is from RNAcentral.